GCGAUUGUUUCAGUACUUGAGUCAAUGGAAAUCCAAAGCCAAUGACGGAAUUCAACAAUCACUUCUUAUCGCCAAAUUCCUCUGCUUAUUACAUGUCACAAGCAACUACGUUUUCUCUCCAGUAAUGGUGUACGGUCCGAGCAUGUUGCCGACCCUGAAUCUUACCGGUGAUGUUUUGCUGGUUGAACAUUUGUCGCCGUUGUUCGAUAAGUUGGGACCUGGAGAUGUAAUCCUUGUUCGGUCACCUGAUAACCCUAGGAAGACUGUAACUAAACGAAUUAUUGGCAUGGAGGGUGAUACUGUCACUUUUCUAGCUGACCCUUCAAAAAGUGACCGGUAUAUUAGCUUAAAGGUUCCAAAGGGGCAUGUUUGGAUUCAAGGAGAUAACAUCUAUGCUUCAAAGGAUUCACGACAGCUCGGGCCAAUCCCUUGUGGCCUUAUCUCGGGAAAAGUGUUAUACAGAGUAUGGCCUCCAGAGUGUUUUGGUUCAUUAUGACCACAAAA
Molecule: unclassified non-coding RNA, 504 nt
Filed under: Hevea brasiliensis (rubber tree)
Lineage: Eukaryota; Viridiplantae; Streptophyta; Magnoliopsida; Malpighiales; Euphorbiaceae
Source: RNAcentral